CGGAGGGGGCGAGCGUUAUUCGGAAUUAUUGGGCGUAAAGGGCGCGUAGGCGGCUUGAUAAGUCAAAGGUGAAAUCCCUCGGCUCAACUGAGGAACUGCCUUUGAAACUGUCUGGCUUGAGGCCGGGAGGGGGUAGCGGAAUUCCCAGUGUAGCGGUGAAAUGCGUAGAUAUUGGGAGGAACACCGGUGGCGAAGGCGGCUACCUGGACCGGUUCUGACACUGAUGCGCGAAAGCGUGGGUAGCAAACAGGAUUAGAUACCCUGGUAGUCCACGCUGUAAACGAUGGGUGCUCGGUGUCGCGGGUAUCGACCCCUGCGGUGCCUUAGCUAACGCGUUAAGCACCCCGCCUGGGGAGUACGGUCGCAAGGCUG
RNAcentral lists this ribosomal RNA (372 nucleotides) under uncultured organism. RNAcentral's name for it is "bacterial SSU rRNA". It matches the Rfam family "Bacterial small subunit ribosomal RNA", at positions 526 to 896 of the family's 1533-position model. The record is from RNAcentral.